RNAcentral lists this transfer RNA (69 nucleotides) under Creobroter sp. RNAcentral's name for it is "tRNA-Arg". Lineage: Eukaryota; Metazoa; Arthropoda; Insecta; Mantodea; Hymenopodidae. The record is from RNAcentral.
AAGUAAGAAGCAAAUCAAUUGUAAUCAGUUUCGACCUGAUAGUAAGAUAUAAUUUAAUAUCCUUACUUG